Molecule: long non-coding RNA, 5058 nt
Organism: Carassius gibelio (silver crucian carp)
Lineage: Eukaryota; Metazoa; Chordata; Actinopteri; Cypriniformes; Cyprinidae
Exons: 11
Source: RefSeq, a predicted model, not a curated record
GUUAAACCGCUGGAAAACAAAAACAACUCUGUGACCUCUGCUUCUUAUAGAGAUGCAAGAAAUUAUUUUAUGAUCUAAAUCUGUAUCGAUUAUUAUACCCCACUGCUGUAGCCGUAGUCAUCGUAUCGUAUUCCGUACAUACAAGUGGAAGUGUGUUUCUUUUUUUUAAUGAUUCACCUGGCCUUGGACCUGUUGAGAUGCAUAAACAAAUGAUCUCCCGCUGGUGCUUAUGUGAAGGCUCCGGGGGAGUCUCUGAGACAUCUUCAGCAUUUUAAAAGGUUCUUUGUAGAAUGAAUAAACGUAUUCAAUGUUGCUACAUAUUUCUGAAACUGUGAGCAGUGAAGAGACUUACCGAAUCCCAAACUUGGCCUGAAUAUAGUUCCAGAUGGCUCUACGGAGCAUGGAAGUGUCCACACCCAGGUGUCUGGCCAUUGUGUUGUGUUGCACUGAUGAGGGCGGAGCUCUGGAGUGGGACUUCCUGUCGGAGGAGAAACCGUUCCUGCGGGCUUCUUAUCAUGCACUCUCUUCUCCGACUCACUGAAAACCAGACAUUGUGUUGAAAUGAAUUGUUUCAUUUCUAAAGACUCACCUGGAUGCUGGAUGGGUCGAGGAAGCUCUGCUAUCUCCUGGGACCAGUAGUGCUUUAAGCACAUGGGCUGGUGCGCCUCCUCUUUCUGCUGUGUGGCUGGCUGAGCUGAUGCACAGAGACCCACAGAGAAAGAAAUCUAAAACGCUCUUUGCCACUUACAUGCAGAAUGUAGAUUUCAUCAUCAGAACUGUGAGUCCAAAUGAAUAAAAUUCUAAUUACCUAAAGCAUGGCAUUUUUGCUGAGGUCCGUCAGGUCCGUGGGCCAGGACUUGUCCUUAUAUUGAGGUUAAAAUUGGCAUAGUUUUGCAUGUCCAAUCACUUAUUUCCUGUAAGCAGUGACCAUUCAAGAAUCUGUCCUACACCCGGUGCGUUAGGCUGAGACGGUCUCCAAGGGCACGCUGUCACUGUGUUCCUCUGAAAGUUCUGUGAAUGCAGUUAUAUGACUGACAUUUGAGAGUGGCUCUAGCCAUAAAAUGCCAUUUUCAUCAAGACUUAAAUCCACGCCGCUAUCCAUCUCACCAUCAUCUGCUUCAUUAGCCCAAAAAGGUCCCUCAGAAAGCUCCAGAACCUGCAUGGUCUUUUAGACUUUGUGACAUGGAAGUAAAAGCAGACACAUCCAUCUUUUACCAUUCCUGUUGUUUCUUAGUUUUAAGUUGCCUGGCUGUUGUACGCACACCUCCACAGGUUCUGAUUGGACUGGGAGGUGAAAAUACAGACUUGUUUGAGCCGAUAAACUCAGUUUGUGUCUGCAUUUGUCCAAGUCACAUGGAGGCAUAACGUCGCUAAGUUCCAAACUGUCGUUUAUUUUCUUCAAUAUUUCAUACCUUUCCUUACCCUUCACCUGAACGACAUAUAUAUCUUCAUAUAGGUCUUCAUCUUAAACGUUUUUGCAUAAUAAGAGUUAAAAUUAAAAACUACACAGUGAAUGCAAUGAAAUAAAAACCUUAAUUUUAAAAUGAUAAAAUUAGCUUUUGAAUGUAACUUAAAGCCACUUUGCUUUCAGUCAAAUCUCAAGCCUUCUUUGUGUUUUGAUUCAUAUUCAAGGUUAGUAUUUGUAGUUUAGCUACUACUGAUUUAUCUGUAUCUUUUUUAUGCAGUAAAAGAGAGGUGGUCAAACUGGCCUUGUUUCUUUGAGAUGUACAAAGUAGAUCUCAUCAUAAUGAGCCAGUGAGUUUAAAAAUAACUAAAAUAAUAAGUCGUACCUGCUUUACCUGGCCAACUGGCUUUUCUGUAGUCUGCCUUCAGGAUCUGGCAGCAUAGCUGAAUUAAAAAACACACUGACGGUCCGUUACCAUUGAACAAAGCAUGGAGCACAGAUGAUCGAUGUUGCAGUGACUUCAGAUGGCGCUACGGAGCAUGGAAGUGUCCACACCCUGGUGUGUGGCCAUUGUGUUGUGUUGCACUGCACAAACAUAUUCAUUCAUAUAGAGGUUUUUGCCCUAGACAGAAAACAAAUCCCAGAUGAUAGCAAUCCCUAGCAAAAUAGUCCCAUUUGUCGACGUCAAUGCCAUUUCCUACGACUGCUGUGGAUGCUUUUGUUGAAGCAGUCGUGCACGUUGCUGAGCAGGCGUAGUCAGGCCAAAACUGAAAGUAGAAGACCCUUGAAGUCUUCUUCAAGUCCUGAAAUAUGGGCAGAACAAGAAGAAGCUCAUUCAUCAAAUACAUGUGGGUCUGGAAUACUUGCCAUAAAUGCUUUCGUCAACUUGUUUCAUCUGUGGUUCACAUCGCUGUAUUCAUCAGGCAGGCAGGAGAGUUGUCUGUUGUCCAUCAUACGGCCACACCCUGCCGACAAUGUUACACCUGUACCUGGAACAUACAGGGGAACUACAAAAGGACAUGACUGAAUAAGUAUGAAACUCACUCCCCUUUAUGUGUCCCCCUAAUAGCUUCAGUCAGGACCAUAGAAAUAAUUGGGUUAGGCCGGCGACACACUGGAUGCGUGGCGCUUCGGUUUUUAAUUCGGCUCCCAUGUUAACAGGUUAGAGCUUACAGAACGCCUGCGUGAGCCGCGCGGAAAACGCGUGCAUGCUAGAAAUAGAACCGACACCUAUUUUUACCGCGACACGCGCGCGUGUUGGAAGCCUUUCCAGGCAAAAUAUAAUAGGAAAAUGUGUUUUUAUGUCAUUUUGUACACAAAUUUUGUCCUCACAUGUCACCGGCCUUACAUUUUGAAACGUUCUUUGCCACGAACAUGUGGGAUGUACAUCUCAUCUUUAGAAUAAAUGGAGCAUUACACUAAUUGGACUCUAUGCUAGGAGGAUGAGAGACCACAAGAAUACUAUUAAACACAAACAAUACAUUCUCUAAUUGACAAUAUAUCAUUGAACUAAAAAUACACGUCUGAACAGACACUACAUAGAAUAGGUAACGGUACUGCCUCUUGGUUCAACUUCUGCAGCCCCUGGAUCACUGGCUUAACGUCACAGUUAACGCUUCAUUUACACGUGUGGCUGAUGCUGCGCCUCUCUCAACCCCAAACGCCAUCUUUCAUCAGUUUUUUGCACUCUUCUCUUUAAUUUCGGCAGUCUAUAGAACUAGAAAUGUUUUUCAGAAGCAAUAAUCAGCCAAAUUUGCGAGUCCGUUCAGUGCCUCCAAAAUGGCCGAUGACGUGUCGUGAAAACCUCUAUAAACAAACAAACAUGGCCGCACUCAUUUACUUUGAGCGAGUCAAUGGCGGCCAUCAUUUCUAAUAGCGGCUGGUGGAUUUUGGCUCACUUCUCUGCGAAAAAUCAACGAAAACGUCUGGAAUAUACAGAGGGGAGAGUGUUCAUCUCUACGAUUCGAACGAGUUCAGUGCUUCUCGGAAUGGUGGAGAUUUUUGUUUACUUUUUGAAUUGUUUCCUCCCGGGACGAAGAUAGUUUUACCUGCCUAUUCGGUUGGACAGCGCCAUAUUUGUCACAGGUAAGUUAAUGUUUUCAGAUGUAAAGGCUUUACGCAUUAUUUGUGAAAGUUUGUAUCAUCAUUUGACUCUUAUUCUUGUUUUCAUGUCGCACACCAAGGUCAGAUUAUUUUGUUUACAUUCGUUUCUGAUGACAAUUUCUAGUUCAUUAAAGUUUAUUUUUAAAGUAUACAUUCAUUUUUGUUUUGCUUAAAGUUUCUCAAAGCGUUUUUUUAAAACAUUUAUUUAAAGUUUCUCAAAGCGUUUUUUUAAAACAUUUAUUGUCACAUGCAGCAAACAUCUCCUCACUGUCCACUAGCUAACUUACCUUUCCCCGGAACACACUGUUAAAAGACGCAGUCUCUGUCGGCCCAAAAAACAAACUGGGCUAACAGGCAGUUUGAAACAUAACAAAUUGUUCCAGCCAAUAACCACAAGAAGGAUUUGGGGGUGUGGUUAGUGUGCGGGUGAGGAGGAGGGAGGGUCUAGCUAGAUUUUUUUUUUUUUUUUUUUUUUUUUUUUACAAUACUUCGAACGUAAACAAGAAGUGACGUCAAUUAGAGCACCUUUAAGAGUGUUUUGGUGCUGCUGUUUACAUGUGAGUGAUCAGUGUGUUUUGGUUGAUAAUGACUCUUAUUAAGCUCAGAGGAGUCAAUGUGGACUUUCCCUUCACUCCAUACUCGUGCCAGGAGGAGUACAUGAGAAAAGUAAUCGAGUGCCUGCAGAAUCGCUGGGCUGGAGAGAGAACUUAAAAGACAAAAUCUCUGACCGCAAGAUAGCCGAGAGAAUGGACGGUGUGGAGCUGUUCCCUGACAGACCAAUGUCAUCGAGGGGAACAGCAGUCACCAACAAAGACACUCCAACUUAUGACACGGACAUCCCUAAGAUCAUAUAUGCUUCCAGGACCCAUUCCCAGCUAGCACAGGUCAUAAAUGAGCUCAAGAACACAUCCUACAGGUCAGCUAUCUGAGUUAACAUCACAUAUUUAAAGGGAUAGUUCACAGAAAGAUGAAAAUUCUGCCAAAUAUUUGUGUUUUGGGAUCUAGAGAACAGCUGUGCAUAGACCAGGAAGUGAUGCGUCAAGAGAGUAACCACUUUAAGAGAAAAGCACUAAAAAACCACAAAGAAAUCAUGAAUACUAUCAUGGAUGUGGAGGAUCUUGUGAAAACAUGAAAAAGGAAAGGAUUAAAACUGGAUAUCACCACAAUUGCAAAAAUAAAACAAAUGUUGAUGGAUCUGGGAUCUUCCAUUAAUGGUUUUGAGAUGCCAGCAAAUAAUCAAGGAAUCACCAAACCCGGCAGCUUCAUAUAUGAGCUUUUUCAAACGGCUAAUGUAAACUUUGAGAAUAAAACAUCUAUAGUGGAAGCCAUGGAGCAGAUUACAGGAUAUAUAGCAGGGAGGCCUGGUGUCUUUCUGAACACCAGCAGAGUACAGAAAGUAGCAGAUAUUAUCCAGUCCUUUCCCUGUAUCCUUGGAGAAUCUUCAUGUCAUCCAGCCUGAUCAGAUUUCCGCCAGUAUCAUUGAAAAAGGUCCGGACGGCGUGAAGUUGAGCACAGCCUUUGACAGGAGGUUUGUUCCUGAAAACAUGUCG